Molecule: ribosomal RNA, 492 nt
Filed under: uncultured bacterium
Lineage: Bacteria
Description: partial 16S ribosomal RNA
Rfam family: Bacterial small subunit ribosomal RNA
Source: RNAcentral
AGUGAACGCUGGCGGUAGGCCUAACACAUGCAAGUCGAACGGCAGCACAGUAAGAGCUUGCUCUUACGGGUGGCGAGUGGCGGACGGGUGAGGAAUACAUCGGAAUCAACCUUUUCGUGGGGGAUAACGUAGGGAAACUUACGCUAAUACCGCAUACGACCUACGGGUGAAAGCAGGGGAUCUUCGGACCUUGCGCGAUUGAAUGAGCCGAUGUCGGAUUAGCUAGUUGGCGGGGUAAAGGCCCACCAAGGCGACGAUCCGUAGCUGGUCUGAGAGGAUGAUCAGCCACACUGGAACUGAGACACGGUCCAGACUCCUACGGGAGGCAGCAGUGGGGAAUAUUGGACAAUGGGCGCAAGCCUGAUCCAGCCAUACCGCGUGGGUGAAGAAGGCCUUCGGGUUGUAAAGCCCUUUUGUUGGGAAAGAAAAGCAGCAGGUUAAUACCCCGCUGUUCUGACGGUACCCAAAGAAUAAGCACCGGCUAACUUCGUG